RNAcentral lists this ribosomal RNA (497 nucleotides) under uncultured bacterium. RNAcentral's name for it is "partial 16S ribosomal RNA". It matches the Rfam family "Bacterial small subunit ribosomal RNA", at positions 28 to 507 of the family's 1533-position model. The record is from RNAcentral.
GACGAACGCUGGCGGCGUGCCUAAUACAUGCAAGUUGAGCGAUGAAGCUUGGUGCUUGCACCAAUUUGAAGAGCAGCGAACGGGUGAGUAACGCGUGGGGAAUCUGCCUUUGAGCGGGGGACAACAUUUGGAAACGAAUGCUAAUACCGCAUAACAACUUUAAACAUAAGUUUUAAGUUUGAAAGAUGCAAUUGCAUCACUCAAAGAUGAUCCCGCGUUGUAUUAGCUAGUUGGUGAGGUAAAGGCUCACCAAGGCGAUGAUACAUAGCCGACCUGAGAGGGUGAUCGGCCACAUUGGGACUGAGACACGGCCCAAACUCCUACGGGAGGCAGCAGUAGGGAAUCUUCGGCAAUGGACGAAAGUCUGACCGAGCAACGCCGCGUGAGUGAAGAAGGUUUUCGGAUCGGAAAACUCUGUUGGUAGAGAAGAACGUUGGUGAGAGUGGAAAGCUCAUCAAGUGACGGUAACUACCCAGAAAGGGACGGCUAACUACGUG